CCCCGUUGCUUAUGCCUCAGCAGAGACAACGGGGUCUUCUUUCCGUCUGCAACGAGGGUCUGCUCGUG
Molecule: non-coding RNA, 68 nt
Filed under: Enterobacterales bacterium 8AC
Lineage: Bacteria; Pseudomonadati; Pseudomonadota; Gammaproteobacteria; Enterobacterales
Description: ClpQY_promoter
Rfam family: ClpQY promoter
Source: RNAcentral